Molecule: long non-coding RNA, 233 nt
Filed under: Brassica napus (rape)
Lineage: Eukaryota; Viridiplantae; Streptophyta; Magnoliopsida; Brassicales; Brassicaceae
Description: long non-coding RNA (BNAP_LNC011686)
Source: RNAcentral
AGUCUCUUAGGUCUAGUAUUGUAUGGGAUCGAUAUGAUAUUAAUUAAACUACAGUGUAUCAAAUCUAUGGUUAUAUAUACAGAGUGAAGUUCAAACUUUUUCUUGCUUCCGCGUAUUGAUUGAUCAGUUAGAGAAUCCCUGGUUAGAACCUCACUUGGACAUUACACUUAAACUAGAUAAGAACUUAAAAUGAAUCGAACCGGACCGGGUCACCUAUCGGCUUGGUCGUGUGA